RNAcentral lists this ribosomal RNA (274 nucleotides) under uncultured bacterium. RNAcentral's name for it is "partial 16S ribosomal RNA". It matches the Rfam family "Bacterial small subunit ribosomal RNA", at positions 523 to 796 of the family's 1533-position model. The record is from RNAcentral.
AUACAGAGGGUGCGAGCGUUAAUCGGAAUUACUGGGCGUAAAGCGCGCGUAGGCGGUUUGUUAAGUCGGAUGUGAAAUCCCCGGGCUCAACCUGGGAACUGCAUUCGAAACUGGCAGGCUAGAGUAUGGUAGAGGGAAGUGGAAUUCCGGGUGUAGCGGUGAAAUGCGUAGAUAUCCGGAGGAACAUCAGUGGCGAAGGCGGCUUCCUGGACCAAUUCUGACGCUGAGGUGCGAAAGCGUGGGGAGCAAACAGGAUUAGAAACCCGUGUAGUCC